CCGGGGGGGGAGCUUACCAUGCAGUCGAACGGUGAAGCCCUUCGGGGUGGAUCAGUGGCGAACGGGUGAGUAACACGUGGGCAAUCUGCCCUGCACUCUGGGACAAGCCCUGGAAACGGGGUCUAAUACCGGAUACGACCUUCCCCUGCAUGGGGGUUGGUGGAAAGCUCCGGCGGUGCAGGAUGAGCCCGCGGCCUAUCAGCUUGUUGGUGGGGUAAUGGCCUACCAAGGCGACGACGGGUAGCCGGCCUGAGAGGGCGACCGGCCACACUGGGACUGAGACACGGCCCAGACUCCUACGGGAGGCAGCAGUGGGGAAUAUUGCACAAUGGGCGAAAGCCUGAUGCAGCGACGCCGCGUGAGGGAUGACGGCCUUCGGGUUGUAAACCUCUUUCAGCAGGGAAGAAGCGAAAGUGACGGUACCUGCAGAAGAAGCACCGGCUAACUACGUGCCAGCAGCCGCGGUAAUACGUAGGGUGCGAGCGUUGUCCGGAAUUAUUGGGCGUAAAGAGCUCGUAGGCGGCCUGUCACGUCGGUUGUGAAAGCCCGGGGCUUAACCCCGGGUCUGCAGUCGAUACGGGCAGGCUAGAGUUCGGUAGGGGAGAUCGGAAUUCCUGGUGUAGCGGGAAAAUGCGCAA
RNAcentral lists this ribosomal RNA (638 nucleotides) under Actinomycetales bacterium A210. RNAcentral describes it as "bacterial SSU rRNA". It matches the Rfam family "Bacterial small subunit ribosomal RNA", at positions 36 to 693 of the family's 1533-position model. The record is from RNAcentral. Lineage: Bacteria; Bacillati; Actinomycetota; Actinomycetes; Actinomycetales.